Long non-coding RNA from Bactrocera neohumeralis, 1064 nucleotides. RefSeq lists it as uncharacterized. Lineage: Eukaryota; Metazoa; Arthropoda; Insecta; Diptera; Tephritidae. The transcript has 2 exons. The record is from RefSeq and is a predicted model, not a curated record.
AAAAAAGAUGUAGAGGUUCAUAGCUCAAUGUAUUAUAGCGUUCUAUGUUAAAUUACAGCAAAUUGCUUAACCAGACGAAAUGGACAGUUACCAAUGGUGGAAUCUGAGUGGAGUUCGCUGGUCCUGUGUAGUUUAUAGCUAACAACUAAAACUUAUAAGAACAUGUUGGCCGUGUUGAAAAGUCCAAGGAACCAAUAAAAGUGACAAGAAUACAAAUGAAAGCUAAUAUAACUAAGCUUUAUCUGCUUUUGUAUGCUAGAUACUCAAGCCAUGUGGCAUAAGGAGUGCAUGACUCUAACCACCGCUUUACAUGUCCAGCGAACUCCAUCUCUAACACUCGUCUUGCUAUGGCCCGAACUCGUCGAAAUAGCACGUUUCCUGAGCCUACCGUUAAAUGAUUUCGAUGACAAUUAAUCUGAACCUUGGUACUCAAGCAGUGCUUAGAUAACAGCUAAAAUUACACAAAAUCUACAAGAGUGUCCCCACGACACUAACCACCACUUUCCUUGCCUACUCCAACCAGCUCAUUUAAUGCACAUUUAUCUAUGCUUCUUUCAUAUACCUGACCAGAAUGGCAAUAGCUGCUACUAAACAAGAUCUAGAUAUUCGUUACAACUACAUCAUAAUUCUGAAAAAAACCCACGCUUAGUCGGUCUUCAAACAGAAAGACACUGUUUUUAUCCAAACGAAGUGAAAUAUAAAUUAUUGAAAUUAUACCAAAGUUGUUGGUCUGACUCAGUUUUUAAUCGGUCUAUCAGCAAUGCUUUCCCCCUGAUUUCUCAAACUUAUUUUAUCAGUCAACAAGUGAUCGACAUUUUAUUGCUAUUUCUCUAUUCUUCUUCCCACUAAUUCUCAUUAAAAACCGAUUAUGACACUUUUUGCCAAUUCAUCAAUGUUGAUCAGAUUUGAUGGGUUUAAUGACACAACUGUCGUUUACAAAUUUAUUGAGGGGAAUAUCAACAAUGCGGGUUAUUGACGUCGCCAUCAGCCUUCCAAUUAUGAUUGUGUCAAAGAGUAUUUAAGUAUAUGAAAAAAAUAUAUAUAAUAUUGAAAAACUACAUAAA